GUGAUAUGAAGAAAAGU
This 17-nucleotide microRNA is filed under the name Corchorus olitorius. RNAcentral's name for it is "hsa-miR-32". The record is from RNAcentral. Lineage: Eukaryota; Viridiplantae; Streptophyta; Magnoliopsida; Malvales; Malvaceae.